This 492-nucleotide ribosomal RNA is filed under the name uncultured bacterium. RNAcentral's name for it is "partial 16S ribosomal RNA". It matches the Rfam family "Bacterial small subunit ribosomal RNA", at positions 29 to 507 of the family's 1533-position model. The record is from RNAcentral.
AGUGAACGCUGGCGGUAGGCCUAACACAUGCAAGUCGAACGGCAGCACACUAAGAGCUUGCUCUUACGGGUGGCGAGUGGCGGACGGGUGAGGAAUACAUCGGAAUCUACUUUUUCGUGGGGGAUAACGUAGGGAAACUUACGCUAAUACCGCAUACGACCUACGGGUGAAAGCAGGGGAUCUUCGGACCUUGCGCGAUUGAAUGAGCCGAUGUCGGAUUAGCUAGUUGGCGGGGUAAAGGCCCACCAAGGCGACGAUCCGUAGCUGGUCUGAGAGGAUGAUCCGCCACACUGGAACUGAGACACGGUCCAGACUCCUACGGGAGGCAGCAGUGGGGAAUAUUGGACAAUGGGCGCAAGCCUGAUCCAGCCAUACCGCGUGGGUGAAGAAGGCCUUCGGGUUGUAAAGCCCUUUUGUUGGGAAAGAAAAGCAGCAGGUUAAUACCCCGCUGUUCUGACGGUACCCAAAGAAUAAGCACCGGCUAACUUCGUG